AUUCUGACCUGUAUUAGGGAUAUGCUUAGAAGAACUUUUAGGUUUCAUUAAAAUCCGAAAGUCUGUAGAAAAACCACUACGGUGUUUCGUUCCAAGCGUGCAGAGUGGUGGCGUGGCGGCAACGCCCGUCGCCGUACAACUCCCGCGUGAUCCGGUUCGAGGACACUGCCAGGCGGGGAGUUUGACUGGGGCGGUACAUCUGCCAAAGAAUAACGCAGGUGUCCUGAGGCCAGCUCAGCGAGGACAGAAACCUCGCGUGACAACAUUGUUAUCAUUCCACCGGCAUACGAAGACAUCAUCAGCUAUUAAUAUAUAUUGGAAUUAUUUUAUAAGAGGACACCAUGGACAUG
This 350-nucleotide non-coding RNA is filed under the name Papilio xuthus (Asian swallowtail). RNAcentral's name for it is "Eukaryotic large subunit ribosomal RNA". It matches the Rfam family "Eukaryotic large subunit ribosomal RNA", at positions 2450 to 2715 of the family's 3401-position model. Lineage: Eukaryota; Metazoa; Arthropoda; Insecta; Lepidoptera; Papilionidae. The record is from Rfam by way of RNAcentral.